UACGGAGGGUGCAAGCGUUAUCCGGAUUUACUGGGUUUAAAGGGUGUGUAGGCGGGUCUGUAAGUCAGUGGUGAAAUCUCCGGGCUCAACCCGGAAACUGCCAUUGAUACUAUAGGUCUUGAAUACUGUGGAGGUGGGCGGAAUGUGUCAUGUAGCGGUGAAAUGCAUAGAGAUGACACAGAACACCGAUUGCGAAGGCAGCCCACUACGCAGUGAUUGACGCUGAGGCACGAAAGCGUGGGGAUCAAACAGG
This 253-nucleotide ribosomal RNA is filed under the name uncultured prokaryote. RNAcentral describes it as "partial 16S ribosomal RNA". It matches the Rfam family "Bacterial small subunit ribosomal RNA", at positions 524 to 776 of the family's 1533-position model. The record is from RNAcentral.